RNA transcript from Schistocerca americana (American grasshopper), 1009 nucleotides. RefSeq lists it as uncharacterized. Lineage: Eukaryota; Metazoa; Arthropoda; Insecta; Orthoptera; Acrididae. The record is from RefSeq and is a predicted model, not a curated record. The transcript is spliced from 3 exons.
CUUCGAAGACGAAAUUUUUGGAGGGGAGAAGAAGCUGUGUUUGGUCUGUUAUUGUUGUCGUCGAGGUGGUACAUGCUGUAUUGAGUUGUAAAUCAGCCGUAGGUUUUUUUUUGCUACUCAGGUUUCUAAGAGACGAAAAGCGGAACGCAAAAUUGUUGGAGAGAAAAUAGGAAACGUUAUAUACAUUCACGUUCUGGGAGGCAAAUAAGUUGAUCGGUUAAAGUGAUUGUGGUUAGAAUACCAUAUUUUCCCGUAGAAUAUAAAUGUACAGGAUUUAUUUAAUACUGUGACGUAUGCAUUCUAGCUGCAAGUGUAGUGUUGCACUGGUGAACAUUGUAAUCUGCUGAUUUAGUUUUAUAGCUGUGUGCAUGCAAUUUAGUACUGUUCUAAUGGUUGUUGGAAGGCUUCUUCAAUGUUUACUAUCGUUUAAAGAUGGUGAGUUAUUAAGUAAUGGAGUUCUUGAACUUUAUUUUUAGCCACUGAAGUAUAUAACGGUGAAACUCACUGAGAACAGAAAGAGACAUCAGGCUUGCAGCAAACCUGGAGAGACUGUGGGAAAUUUGCAUUUGCAAAACAAGAUGCUGAAAUACCAGGUUCUGAUGCUACACCCCUCUGCUUUGACCCAUGAUGUAACUGUGAUGUGGUGUGUGAUGUCAUGAAACACAUCGCAAAUCCAGGACCACAAGAGAAUGACUACACGAUUGCACAACCAAACAUUCUCUGGGAUGUUUACUAGGGACAGGCCAUAGCCAAUACCCAACAUCAUUAUUUUACUAGCUGUGCCAAAUUAAUGUGUCUGGUAAUGUAUUAAUAGUAUUAUCAUAGAGACACUUUAAGAAAAGGAAAUGAUUCACAUUCCACUGUAAAAACCCACUGUCAUAAAAUGUUUAUUGAAGUGGAUGACAAUUGUAUCUCAUGUAUUGGAGUUACUGUUGCAAUGAAUGUGAUUUUUUCAGCAUGACAUGUUAAAAACAAUUGCAGUAAAAUAAAUCUGUUUAUUGCAAAUGAA